AAUGAUAUUCUGCCAACCUCAUAGAUCAGUGAUUGCCUAGUCCAAUUGUCAUCAGAGAGGCUUCAUCCAGCAACUGAUGGGAGCAGAUCCAGAGACCCUCAGCCAAGCAUUAGGCAGAGCUCAAGGAAUUCAGCAGAAGACAGGAGGCUGAAACUGAAGGACAAACAGAGCCUGGGAUAAACAGGACUGUCCAUAUGGGUCCAUUUGAGGUGUCUGCCGACAUGCGGGAUAAAGAUCCCAUGUGUGUGUGUGUAGUCACUAAGUGAUGGAUAGAAAACCAGAUGAAGUCGAUCAACAAGAUGCAGACUAUCGCUUGCAGUGCUAAGAACAGGAAGACUAUAAAAGUGGUUUUGAGAAACCGUAAGAAAAUUAGAGGUUGGACUUGACGGUGAGAAGAGGAACUAUUUGGAGGUCAUGGGAUGUCUUUCCUCAUGAACCUGAAGUUUCAUAUGUCAGAUGGGAAUCAGACAUUCAGAGACGGAAGAAGUGAUACUGAACACAAUGCAAAUGCUGGCUGCUCCAUUAAAGAGCCUUCCCCUGCAAUUGCCGAGCUUCUCAUGAAACGCCAUGUUCAAUAGUUCUUUUAAAAUACAAUUUAUGCUUGCUUAAUAAAAUUAAGUUGUAUUUCCCCUGCAUUUACAGUAUAUUCAGGAGGUGCUAAAUAAAACUCAGUAUUCCUGAUUCUGAAAAAGGCUUUUGUACAAUUGCCUUCCUUCUAGUGAGCACAAGGUGGCGCUCUUCUCUAGACUAAAAGCUUCCUCAAAAGACAUGGCCAAGGCUUGAAAAAGUUGACAACAAAGGAAUUUUCAUCCAUUCAAUUUCUGUAUGUCAUAAAAGGCUUCUAGGUUUUCAUUUUAAAGAAGGAAGGGUGGAGGAGAGGAUUAGGAAAAGAGGAAGGAAGGAAGGA
Molecule: long non-coding RNA, 907 nt
Organism: Mesocricetus auratus (golden hamster)
Lineage: Eukaryota; Metazoa; Chordata; Mammalia; Rodentia; Cricetidae
Exons: 3
Source: RefSeq, a predicted model, not a curated record